CGAGGGUAAAGUCGUUCGUUAGAGCAACAGAGGGGAUUACUAAUCUUACGAUCUUACUGCACCACAAAAGGCUUUUACAUAAGCUGGUUUCAUCUGUUGAUGCCCGAUGCCCGGCACCAAAAUGCUCACUUCCUCAAAGAGUACCAGCACCAGCGCCUACGCCCAAAAUCCUCGUUACUUUGGUAGCCGACAGGGACGGUCUCGAGACAACUUCUCGACCUAGAGAGGUUCAAGGAAGAAGAAGAAGAGGGAGACCAAGAAAAAGAUGGAAGGACUGUGUGAGAGGAGACUUACAUGAGAAGGGAAUUGAUGCGGCAGAAGCACAGGAUAGAAAUAGAUGGAAAAGGCUCAUCCGAAACGGCGACCCCAUAUAAAAAUGGUAACCAGCUGGGAAGAAGAAGAAGAUAUAUAUGUGUCUGUGUGUGUGUGUGUGUGUCCUUUGCAGAA
Molecule: long non-coding RNA, 447 nt
Organism: Macrobrachium nipponense
Lineage: Eukaryota; Metazoa; Arthropoda; Malacostraca; Decapoda; Palaemonidae
Exons: 3
Source: RefSeq, a predicted model, not a curated record